AUGAACAGGAACAUCAUCAUCAUUGUAGUAUACUUGCCACACACACCCAUAGAAUCGUCCAUUUAUCUUUUGGACUUACAAAGGUUGACAUGCACAACCAAAUUUGCAUUACCAAGAGUUGCAGUUUUUGCGACUCUGUACCUAAUCUUCAGUUUUCACAAGUGCCAUCUCGACAUGCACUACCUAGAAUUCAUUAGUAAUUUCAGCACCAUCAAGUUCAAAUUUAGGAUCACAACUUACAACUGUAGCAAGAGCUACAUUUUUGUUAUGAUUUUUUAG
This 279-nucleotide ribosomal RNA is filed under the name Triticum aestivum (bread wheat). RNAcentral describes it as "partial small subunit ribosomal RNA". Lineage: Eukaryota; Viridiplantae; Streptophyta; Magnoliopsida; Poales; Poaceae. The record is from RNAcentral.